AUGGCGGAGCUGCUGCGAGCGGCCGGUUUCUUUGACCUGCGCGGCGCGGCGCCGUUCGUCGUGGCAGCGGCGGUGGCGAUGUACUUCUUGGUCGAGCAGCUGUCCUACCUCCGCAAGAAGGGCCCGCUGCCCGGCCCGUCGCUCGUCGUGCCGUUCCUCGGCAGCGCCGUGCGCAUGAUCCGCGACCCCACGGGGUUCUGGGACGCGCAGGCGGCGCGGGCCAGGGAGUCCGGCGCCGGCCUCGCCGCGGACUUCCUGUUCGGCCGCUUCAUCGUCUUCGUCCGCGACUCGGAGUUGUCCCACCGCGUCUUCGCCAACGUCCGCCCCGACGCCUUCCACCUCAUCGGCCACCCCUUCGGCAAGCGCCUCUUCGGCGACCACAACCUCAUCUACAUGUUCGGCGAGGACCACAAGGACCUGCGCCGCCGGAUCACGCCCAACUUCACGCCGCGCGCGCUCUCCACCUACGCCGCCAUCCAGCAGCGCGUCAUCCUGGCCCACCUCCGGCGGUGGCUCGACCAGAGCGCCGCCACCGGCGAGGCCAUGCCGAUUCGGGUGCCCUGCCGCGACAUGAACCUGGAGACGUCGCAGACGGUGUUCGUCGGCUCCUACCUCUCCGAGAAGGCCAGGGAGCGGUUCGCCAAGGACUACGCCCUCUUCAACCUCGGCCUCAUGUCCGUCCCCGUCGACCUGCCCGGGUUCGCGUUCCGGCGCGCGAGGCUGGCCGUGGCGCGGCUCGUGCGCACGCUCGGGGAGUGCGCGCGGAAGAGCAAGGCGCGCAUGCGCGCCGGCGGCGAGCCGGAGUGCCUGGUGGACUACUGGAUGCAGGAGACGCUGCGGGAGAUGGACGAGGCCGCGGCGGCGGGGCGGCCGCCGCCGGCGCACACCGGCGACGAGGAGUUCGGGGGCUUCCUCUUCGAUUUCCUGUUCGCCGCCCAGGACGCGUCCACGUCCUCGCUCUGCUGGGCGGUCUCCGCGCUCGACUCCCACCCGGACGUGCUCGCCCGCGUGCGCGCCGAGGUGGCCGCGGCCUGGUCGCCGGAGUCGGGCAAGCCGAUCACCGCCGAGAAGAUCCAGGGGAUGAGGUACACCCAGGCGGUGGCGCGGGAGGUGGUCCGGCACCGGCCGCCGGCGACGCUGGUGCCUCACGUCGCCGGCGAGGCGUUCCAGCUGACGGAGUGGUACGCGGUGCCCAAGGGGGCCAUGGUGUUCCCGUCGGUGUACGAGUCGUCGUUCCAGGGGUUCGCCUCGCCGGACGCGUUCGACCCGGAGCGCUUCUUCUCGGAGGCGCGCCGGGAGGACGUGGCGUGCAAGCGCAACUUCCUGGCCUUCGGCGCCGGCGCGCACCAGUGCGUCGGCCAGCGGUACGCGCUGAACCACCUCGUGCUCUUCCUGGCGCUCUUCGUGUCCGUCGCCGACUUCCGGCGGGACGGCACGCCGGGGUGCGACGAGCCGGUGUACAUGCCGACCAUCGUGCCCAGGGACGGCUGCGCCGUGUACAUGGAGCAGCGCUGCCGCACGUUCCCAUCCUUCUGA
This 1536-nucleotide ribosomal RNA is filed under the name Triticum aestivum (bread wheat). RNAcentral describes it as "partial small subunit ribosomal RNA". Lineage: Eukaryota; Viridiplantae; Streptophyta; Magnoliopsida; Poales; Poaceae. The record is from RNAcentral.